RNAcentral lists this transfer RNA (89 nucleotides) under Vallisneria natans. Its description in RNAcentral is "tRNA-Ser". It matches the Rfam family "tRNA". Rfam says of the family: Transfer RNA (tRNA) molecules are approximately 80 nucleotides in length. Lineage: Eukaryota; Viridiplantae; Streptophyta; Magnoliopsida; Alismatales; Hydrocharitaceae. The record is from RNAcentral.
GGAGAGAUGGCUGAGUGGUUGAAGGCAUCGGAUUGCUAAUCCGCUUGUACAAGUUAUUCGUACCGAGGGUUCAAAUCCCUUUCUCUCCC